Phyllostomus discolor (pale spear-nosed bat) is the source of this 723-nucleotide long non-coding RNA. RefSeq lists it as uncharacterized. The transcript has 3 exons. The record is from RefSeq and is a predicted model, not a curated record. Lineage: Eukaryota; Metazoa; Chordata; Mammalia; Chiroptera; Phyllostomidae.
AAACAAAAAUUAAAAGUUUAAAAGAACAACAAUAGACACAUCUUACCUGAUUUAUUUUAAUUACAUAUUAUUUGUCAAUAAAUGUACACAGCACAAAAUAGAAAAAAUACAAAAGCGUAUUCUGUGAAGUCUCCCUCCCAUCCCUUUGUCAUCCAGCCCCUCUUCAGGGGUAUCCUGAGUAUCACCUUGAGAUGAUAAUCAAAGCCUACACACAUAUGUAAAUAUAUAUGUACACAGGUAGCAGGCAGCAUAAUAGAGUUCUGUGUCUUAUUUUCACUUAAAUGUAUCUUCCUGUCAGAUUGUUUGCUGUAUAAAACAAGCAACAAUGUAGUUAAAAACAACAACAAAAAAGGAACAAACUGAGUAUUAAUUCAAAUUUUAAAACUUAUUUUAUAAAAAAGAAUAACAAUAAAAAAGUUCUUAAGCUAUAAUGAGUAGAUACUCUAGCAAUUAGAUAAAUAUGAAGAAUAAGGGCAUUAUGCAUUAGUUUUAUUAUUUUGGCAAAACAAUAUGACUACAUUGAAGAUCUACAGAAUUAUUUAGAAUAUGAAGCCCAAUACACAAAAUUAAUCAUCAAUACAGAAAAAUAAUUCUAUGGGACUAUGUUAAACAAAAAAGCCAAAAACAGAUUACUGCCAUCUAGAAAUAUGUAUCAUAAUAACCCAAAAUGUAACAUAUUAAUCUUACAUACUUGAGAAUUAUAGAAUGACAUAACCAUCAAAA